RNAcentral lists this ribosomal RNA (251 nucleotides) under uncultured bacterium. Its description in RNAcentral is "partial 16S ribosomal RNA". It matches the Rfam family "Bacterial small subunit ribosomal RNA", at positions 524 to 776 of the family's 1533-position model. The record is from RNAcentral.
GACGAACCGUGCGAACGUUAUUCGGAAUCACUGGGCUUAAAGGGCGCGUAGGCGGGUCACCAAGUCCGGGGUGAAAUCCCACGGCCCAACCGUGGAAGUGCCUUGGAUACUGAUGACCUCGAGGGGGAUAGGGGCGUGCGGAACUCGAGGGUGGAGCGGUGAAAUGCGUAGAUAUCCUGAGGAACACCGGUGGCGAAAGCGGCGCGCUGGAUCCCUUCUGACGCUGAGGCGCGAAGCCAGGGAGCAACGGG